CCUGCUAAGGAUGAACGCUGGCGGCGUGCUUAACACAUGCAAGUCGAACGAUGAUCCCAGCUUGCUGGGGGAUUAGUGGCGAACGGGUGAGUAACACGUGAGUAACCUGCCCUUAACUCUGGGAUAAGCCUGGGAAACUGGGUCUAAUACCGGAUAUGACUCCUCAUCGCAUGGUGGGGGGUGGAAAGCUUUAUUGUGGUUUUGGAUGGACUCGCGGCCUAUCAGCUUGUUGGUGAGGUAAUGGCUUACCAAGGCGACGACGGGUAGCCGGCCUGAGAGGGUGACCGGCCACACUGGGACUGAGACACGGCCCAGACUCCUACGGGAGGCAGCAGUGGGGAAUAUUGCACAAUGGGCGCAAGCCUGAUGCAGCGACGCCGCGUGAGGGAUGACGGCCUUCGGGUUGUAAACCUCUUUCAGUAGGGAAGAAGCGAAAGUGACGGUGCCUGCAGAAGAAGCGCCGGCUAACUACGUGCCAGCAGCCGCGGUAAUACGUAGGGCGCAAGCGUUAUCCGGAAUUAUUGGGCGUAAAGAGCUCGUAGGCGGUUUGUCGCGUCUGCCGUGAAAGUCCGGGGCUCAACUCCGGAUCUGCGGUGGGUACGGGCAGACUAGAGUGAUGUAGGGGAGACUGGAAUUCCUGGUGUAGCGGUGAAAUGCGCAGAUAUCAGGAGGAACACCGAUGGCGAAGGCAGGUCUCUGGGCAUUAACUGACGCUGAGGAGCGAAAGCAUGGGGAGCGAACAGGAUUAGAUACCCUGGUAGUCCAUGCCGUAAACGUUGGGCACUAGGUGUGGGGGACAUUCCACGUUUUCCGCGCCGUA
RNAcentral lists this ribosomal RNA (820 nucleotides) under uncultured bacterium. RNAcentral describes it as "bacterial SSU rRNA". It matches the Rfam family "Bacterial small subunit ribosomal RNA", at positions 19 to 850 of the family's 1533-position model. The record is from RNAcentral.